UAGACGGAAGCCUGUUGGUUUAGGCGUCUAGCUGUUAACUAGAAUAUUGUGGGAUCGAGGCCCAUCUGUCUAG
This 73-nucleotide transfer RNA is filed under the name Vanellus vanellus. RNAcentral's name for it is "tRNA-Asn". It matches the Rfam family "tRNA". Rfam says of the family: Transfer RNA (tRNA) molecules are approximately 80 nucleotides in length. The record is from RNAcentral. Lineage: Eukaryota; Metazoa; Chordata; Aves; Charadriiformes; Charadriidae.